Vicia faba (fava bean) is the source of this 198-nucleotide non-coding RNA. Lineage: Eukaryota; Viridiplantae; Streptophyta; Magnoliopsida; Fabales; Fabaceae. The record is from the annotation of a GenBank genome assembly.
AUGAAAGAUUCUUCUCCUGCAGCCACUGGUUGCUCACUUGCACCACCUACAUCUAUGGUCUUUGGUAAUAUAUCUUUGAUUCAAACUCUACUCACCAUUUCAAUCCGAAAAUUUCCAUCAAGGUUCAAGAGAAUAAUUAUAAUAUCUGGAAUAAGCAAGUUAAAGGUGUUAUCAUCACUCAUAGAGUGCCUAAACUAG